RNAcentral lists this ribosomal RNA (441 nucleotides) under uncultured bacterium. RNAcentral describes it as "partial 16S ribosomal RNA". It matches the Rfam family "Bacterial small subunit ribosomal RNA", at positions 338 to 795 of the family's 1533-position model. The record is from RNAcentral.
CCUACGGGAGGCAGCAGUGGGGGAUAUUGCACAAUGGGGGGAACCCUGAUGCAGCGACGCCGCGUGGGUGAAGGAGUGCUUCGGCAUGUAAAGCCCUAUCGGCAGGGAAGAAGCAAGACGGUACCUGACUAAGAAGCCCCGGCUAACUACGUGCCAGCAGCCGCGGUAAUACGUAGGGGGCGAGCGUUAUCCGGAUUCACUGGGUGUAAAGGGAGCGUAGACGGCCAUGCAAGCCAGGGGUGAAAGCCCGGGGCACAACCCCGGGACUGCCCUUGGAACUGUGCGGCUAGAGUGCGGGAGGGGCAGGCGGAAUUACUGGUGUAGCGGUGAAAUGCGUAGAUAUCAGGAGGAACACCGGCGGCGAAGGCGGCCUGCUGGACCGCGACUGGCGUUGAGGCUCGAAAGCGUGGGGAGCGAACAGGAUUAGAUACCCGAGUAGUC